Molecule: ribosomal RNA, 460 nt
Filed under: uncultured bacterium
Lineage: Bacteria
Description: bacterial SSU rRNA
Rfam family: Bacterial small subunit ribosomal RNA
Source: RNAcentral
GAUCCUGGCUCAGGAUGAACGCUGGCGGCGUGCCUAAUACAUGCAAGUCGAGCGGCAGCACGGUCUUCGGACUGGUGGCGAGCGGCGGACGGCUGAGUAACGCGUAGGAAUAUACCCCAAAGUGAGGGAUAACUGCCCGAAAGGGUGGCUAAUACCGCAUGUGGUCUUCGGACUAAAGCCUUCGGGCGCUUUGGGAAUAGCCUGCGUAAGAUUAGCUAGUUGGUGAGGUAAUGGCUCACCAAGGCGACGAUCUUUAGCUGGUCUGAGAGGAUGACCAGCCAGACUGGAACUGAGACACGGUCCAGACUCCUACGGGAGGCAGCAGUAGGGAAUUUUCCACAAUGGGCGAAAGCCUGAUGGAGCAACGCCGCGUGCAGGAUGAAGGCCCUCGGGUCGUAAACUGCUUUUAUGUGCGAAGAAUAUGACGGUAACACAUGAAUAAGGGUCGGCUAACUACGUG